GGCUUGUUGAUUAUAAUUUUAAGUUAGGCCUGCCCAAUGAAAAAUUUAAUGGCCGCGGUAUAUUGACCGUGCAAAGGUAGCAUAAUCAUUAGUUUUUUAAUUGAAAGCUUGUAUGAAAGGUUUGAUGAGAAAAAAGCUGUCUCUAUUGGAAUUAAUUAAAAUUUUAUUUUUAAGUAAAAAAGCUUAAAUUUUUAUAGAAGACGAGAAGACCCUGUAGAGUUUUAUAUUUAUGUUAGGAUUAUGUCUUAGGAAUUUAUUAUUAAUAUUUACUGGAAUAUUUUAUUGGGGUGAUUAAAAAAUGAGAUAAACUUUUUUUUUAUAAAAACAUUUAUUUAUGAAUUAUAGAUCCUAAAGUUUAGAUUGUAAGGUUAAACUACCUCAGGGAUAACAGCGUAAUCUUUUUAAGAGUUCUUAUCGAAAAAAGGGAUUGCGACCUCGAUGUUGGAUUAAAAUAAAUAAUUGGUGUAUAAGCUAAUAAAUUAGGUCUGUUCGACCUUUAAAAUUUUACAUGAUCUGAGUUUAAACCGGUGUGAGCCAGGUCGGUU
RNAcentral lists this ribosomal RNA (545 nucleotides) under Trigonopterus sp. 163 AR-2020. RNAcentral's name for it is "partial large subunit ribosomal RNA". It matches the Rfam family "Bacterial large subunit ribosomal RNA", at positions 1816 to 2636 of the family's 2925-position model. Lineage: Eukaryota; Metazoa; Arthropoda; Insecta; Coleoptera; Curculionidae. The record is from RNAcentral.